UGGGCUUCGUCGAAGAAAGCCAUUGUGAAUUUCAAUUUGCGGCGGACCCAAGAAGUUCAAAUGUUUGUGCUGGUGCGUAUCGCUGAGAGGUGAAAGAUUAAGUCCGAAUUUGCAUCUUGCGAAACCAAGCUACGCGAACCCAGUUUGACGCAUGUUUGUUUUUAUUUUGUUUUGGUGAAGACAAGUGAGUUCAUCUAAAUUGCGCAGCUUAUUGAACAGUCUUUUGGUUAUCAAUUUCCGUUCCAACAAUAGGAGACAGUUUUCUUAGUAUCUCGAUUUGAUAAAACACGUGCUAAGGCUACCGAUGAUGAACGGUAGCAGUCACGUUUCAGUCUAGGGAAAAACAAACGGGUUAGUAAUUUUGAUUCAAAUCCUGAUCGGAUUUGUUCCGAUGGUGUUUCAUUAUCAUCAGUUCGUGCUGUGAACUUGCUAUCUUGAGACUGUCUCCGGGCAAUAAAAACAACAACAACGAUCGUUAGUGGAUUGAAACAAAAAAAGAAAUACGGAAAGAAAGCUGAACCCCGAGUGUCUCACGAAGCGGUGUGCAGCCGGUUGGAACCGGGACCAAGAGGUUAGUGAAACUGCAAACCCCGAAAGAGGAGAUCAAAGUUCGUCAAUUGGUUCAAGUGAAACGACGGGCUCGAGUUUGCAUUCCGAACCAAAAGUAUUUUGAGACCAAGAAAGAAGUUGCUGUCGAAUAGUGCUGUGUUUCAGUUAGGAGCUCAAGUUCUUGUGUCUCGUUCUGUUUUCAUAUGUGGCAGUGAACUUGAAAGUGUGCUGCAGCCGAGAGUCGCUGCAUGGUUUUUUUUUUGUUUUGUACUCUUGAGGAUUUUCAGUAUCGCCACCACGACGACGGAUUCAAUUACCGUUGGAUUUGUGCAUGAAGUCAGCGCAAGCUCCGGGUCGAAUAAGAUCAACGCAGUGCUGGCACAUUCCCAAUUAGUAAGAACUUAACGGAAACCCGAUUGAUUUCGGACAAACGCGGACGGGCGAACGCGCAUUCGCAAAUUGAGUUCAUAAAACAAAAACCUGUUGGUGGGGCAGGUAUCGAAACUAUCGGCGAGAUCAAGUUUCGCAUCAUAGACAAAGUGAAUCUACGGGAAGGGUGUCAACGGCUUGGCACGGCGCCCCGAGCAGCACAAGAAGGAACGCAAACAUACUAAACAUAAUCGACACGAUAAAAGCAUAGAAUGGAAGUAGCCGCAGCAGCAUCUUCGGCGGGCUCCGUCCAGGCCGGGUCGGCUCUGCGAGGCCCCUUCCAGCGCGAGAUCCGUGAGUGGCAGCACGUUGAUCCCAGUACCGGUGCUUUGCUGACAGGGCGGCUCGAGGCAGAUCGCUGGGUCAAUGGACCCCUUAACAGCUUCGGCAAGAUGGUCACACACAACUUGUCCACACCGGAUGGAAGCACCCAGCACAUGCAGAAGAAACAGAUGGAAAUCCUUCAGGCCCGCACUUCAUCCGGUUCGCUGCAGGUGGUUCGAGCUCAAACCGUUCAAACGAGUUCGUCGCGUUGGACUUCCUCCACACUGCAUUCCGAGAUCAGUAAUAGUAGUAGCAGUUCUAACAAUCUUCACAGCAGUUCACUGGCAACCGUCUCCAGCAGUAAGACCAGUGCACUAACGACUAAUGGGUUCUCGAGUCAUCAUCACCUACCGCAACAGUUUCACCGACCGGUGAUAAAUUCUAGCAGAUUAUUGAGUACGGCAGCCGGCAGCAUCCUACACGGUACUUCUUCUCAACAUCAGAGUCCUCAACCGUUGACGUUGAUCCAACCAGUGACGGCUAGUGGAGGGAACCAUUUUACGACAUCAUCAACAUCAUCAUCAUCGUUGUCAUCGGUGUCGUACGGCAACAAGCUGCAUUCCAAACCUUCUGGUCUUCAUCGUACGGACAGUGGACAUCGGCCUCAUUACGAUUACUUCGACAAAUUCAAAGACAUCAGCGUAAAGGAGCAACCGGCCGAUCCCGAAAGUUUCCUAAGUCGUGGUAAGAGUAUUUCGAUCGAAGAUCUAUCCACAGAACGCGACGAAACUAACUUCGAUGACGACGUCGAACCCACGCAGUGGAAGCGAGUUAGUAAGAUUCGCCGUUCGCUUCAAUUCCCAAGGAAAACCACCCCGAAAAGCAACGCCCGUCCGGCCGACUUGCCCGAGAACUCUGUGAGCGUGAGCAAAAUUCGACAGGAAUUGGAAAACGGUCGCCGAUUGAACACCGCCAUGAGAAACAAUCACAUCGAUUUCGUGGCUCUUGAUAACAUUCUGAAGAAUGUUGUGGAUUCCCCAAUUCCCAAGGUUGACGCUCCCCGAACGCCAACUGCGCCUACGACGACCAAACCUCCAACGAGUACUUUUCUGACCGCUGAAUCACUCAAAGCCAUACGCGGAAAACUUAGGAGAUUAAGUAACGAAUCGCUCUAUCGGGACGAUAUGAGCCCCGGUGAGGAACGUAAGGACGACGAUGACUCGGUUACGAUUACGGAGGUGGAAACGCGGAUGGGUCAGCUUCAAACCAGCAGUUCGUCCGACAGUUCAUACAAAAGCAACAGCUUGGAGUCCAAUCGGAAGGGAUCUACCGACAGUAAUUCGGAAGAUUGGCACUCGAGACGUAAAUCAUACGGAUUCGAACGAAUGCACCAGUCGUCAGGAUUUAUGGCAAAAAUGGACUCUUCAACUGACAGCGGAAUCGGUCGCUCGUCAGAUCUCAGCUCUAGCUGGUCUAGCGGAGGAACGGAGAACAUCGCUCAUACCAGAGGGACCAUUGUUACGUUGGGUGACUUGGGAAAGGAGAAACCGACGAGCUCGGCCAUGGUCAUAAAGAUUACCAACGAGGCACAGGACAGUGUAAAGUUGAAUCAACGGGACGAAGAGACGAAACGUCACUCGAUUGCUGUCGACGAGACCAGUUACGUGCGUGAUAGUCUGAAGAAUAUGUUCGAAAAAAAGACUUCGGUUAGUGUGAAUGGUUUUACCCACACAUUCAUUGAUGACUUAAACAGGAACAAAAAGAAGGUUGAGUUUUGUAAAACAGAAGUACAUUUCACAGCCGAUUCGGGACGAGUAAAUAUAGUUGAAACCGACGAAAAACCACCACCAACUAAUGUUUUCCGUCGACGACGUCGAUCUUCGGGGGGUUCCCUUGGAUCGACAUACCUACAGGCGAUCAACUCGGGCGUUCCGGUGACUCAUUUUGGUGACUUAGAAAAAGAGGUUAACGAAUCAGAACUGAAAGAAAAUCCCGUCUAUUCGGCACCUCCUUCGGUUGUGACCACUUCGGUCGGUCGUUCUGAUAUAAAUAAUCCUAGCAAGGCUAUCGUGACGGCUUCGGAUGACAGUGACAGUCAUUCAGCAGAUGAAAUAUCCCUACGGGGAAUACUCAAAAAUAAACCUACUAAGCCAAAACCGUACGUUUUGGGUGAAAAUCUGGACAGUAGUGAAAGUUUAUGGGGCGUCAAGCUGCGUCCCGUUUCGACCGAACUGAAUUAUUGGAAUGGUGAAUCGGAUGAGAAGAUGCAUAAAACAGAUGACACUGCCACAGGUGGUGCUUACUCAACAAAAAUUAAUUUGACUCAACCUACUGUGGUAUCCUGCAGGGCUGAUGAUUCGUCAGAAUCGUGUCCAAAAUCCACCACCAAGAUAAUGAUCGGUAUGUCAAACUCUGAUCCAGUACCGACCGAACGCAAUCCGCUUAAAUCGACAUCGCUGAUCAUGCGUACGAUGCGUUCGGCGACUCAGUUUGAUAAUGCUAUGAGAAAACUCGAAGCAGCCCGCCGAGAUUCGUUGGACAGUAAUACCGAAGAGGAUCGUCGUUCGGCAUUUCAGUUGAUCUCCAGUACGAUUGCAAAAUCGAACUCUGCCAGUAGUAUCUACAAAGAGACACCCAAGCUACGGGUAGCCAAAUAUGCGGCUUCCUUGGACGGUGAUAUCGACAACGAUGAACGACCGUCCUAUCGGGCUCCAGUAGCUGCCUACCGCAGACGAUCCACAAACGAAUCGCGACUGUCGGACUUCGAAGCGUAUAUCAGCAAAAAUAGUAUACGCCGGUCCAGUACAGAUGAAUUUCCAUCCGUCAGUAUGGUGUCAAAUGCUACUACGGCUAGACCAGUAGCAGCACCCCGGAUGAAGAAACUUGGUUCAAGCGUUUUGAGUCAUCAGCUAACUCAACUGAAGCGACUGUAUGACGCCGCCGAACAAUACGACAGCGAUGACAGCGCAAAAGCUGACGAAGAGGUCAAACUGUACCUAGGUAAUCUGGCUGGAAGUAGCGAAGAGAAAGCCGGCAGUGAACUGUCCGGAAGCUGGAGUCGACUGAAAGCUAAAAGAAAUUUCCAAAAGUAUCGCGACCAGGACGUAAAAAUAACGGUAAACUCUCUGUCAGAAUUUGAUAUAGUGAAACCAGCAUCGAUCGGAACAACAAAAACAACCAUCACGAGUGACGGUCAGCAGAAAAGCAGUAACAUAAUGUCCAUUGCUCUGAAAAGUCCUACGCCUCUGCGGAAAGAGCCACCACCAUCUAGCCCAGUGAAAACCCAACCAACGAUCAAACCGCAACAAAUCACCACUCAACCGACACAACCAUCAUCACCAUUCAAGCGGCACGUUCCGACUGCCACCAGUAGCGAAACGAACGGCACAGCACGAAACGAAGAACGGGCAUCACUUCGGCUGUCGUCGGGUGCACGACAACUUCGCGAACAUGAACUGUCAUUCUUCGGUGUCGAUCCGAACAAAAAACAUGAAUCAUCAAAAUCAUCGGCUUCCGCUUCGUCCUCGUCGACGAAAUCGACCGUGAAUACCACAUUUACCCGAUCCACAACCCUCACAUCAUCCUUCAUUAAGCGUAACUCGAUUAACAUGAAUCCCUUGACCCCAUCAUCCACGACAUCCUCGGCCAGUUCUUCUAGCCACGCGAAACCACAGACUUCGGCCUCAUGGCAGCUAACUAAUGACAAGCCCGACUUGCUGCGGCACAGUCAAAGAAUUGAUGGUGUUACGAAUUACAAAACUAGCAGAGAUUCCUCAACAACGACUGCCCUGAGAGCGGAUACGACAGUGGUGCCAUCCGCCGAACCACACUACGAGAAUCUAGUCAACCCUGUUGGGGAACCUUCAGCUACAAAAUAUGACCGCAAGAAAGAUCUUAAGCGUGACGAAGAAAUUCUCGAGGAGCUGACACGCGCAGCUGAUGAGAUUAUGAAUGUUGUUAACAACAUGUCCAAUGCUGAAAGUACGGAAAGUCUCCUCAACGAGUUUCGAAAUUCCAACAGUGGAUGCACAUUGGGUACGAUCAGAGAAUGCUCUACAACGAACAAGAUCAUGAAAUCGCGAGGAAUACAAGUCUCAAAAAACUUCGACGAGAGUCUGAAGCGACAUCAACGAACGGAUAAAGUUUCGUCGGCAUCUUCCAACGAGAGUCUGUUGCGGCCAUCUCCAACGCCAAGUUCCAGCUCUCGAACCGCACAUCCGCUCGAUACUCGCAACGGUAACAGCCGUCGUAAAGUCACCAGCUCGACCAGUGAAUCCCGUCGAUUGAUACGAAUGUGUAGCAAGGAACGUCUGCACCAAUCAAAUGCAAGCUCGUCGGAAGAUUUACCCAACUCAACCACAGUAGAGCCUCCUCGAAGACCACGCCGAACUAGACAUCAUCCCAGCUCAGGCGACAAAGACAAAGAAAGUCCUCGAAUCGGGCUGUCCAAAUCCUCAACCGCAGAUAGCCGAAGAAGUGAUGAACGAACUUUAUCUAGUCGGUCGCAUCGCAGCGAACGAUCCUCCACCAGAACGAGCAAAGGUCUCACGAGCAGUUCUCGUCCGUCCUCCAGCGUCCUUCCGGUCACCGCAGAUCCACAACAUCGUGUUCAUCGCAGCAGCAAGUCCGGAACGUCCGUCCUGACCACUACGGCUUUUCCGCUAAAAUCAAACCAACCAAACAAGAGCCAAAUGAUAGUUUAGCUAUGGCAGAUGGACACCUGUGUGCACUGUGCAUAAUUUGUGAUAAAAUCAGUAGAUCAUCCAAAAAGCAUCACCGGUGAGCCCAGGCCUCCUGUCAGACAAAGUGGUGGUGAAAUGCCACAGACUUGCGUCAUCGCAUCUGUAAGCUGUCAACGCGAACGUCUAGAAGAACAUUCACGUAACACCGAAACGCCAGCAUGUAUAUGAAACUAACACAGAUCUCGAACCAAUUCGAUGUAAUUAACGAAAACACAAAGCCGAAAGCCGAAAAUGCAAUGCAAAACAAAUGUGAUAGGUGCUAUCACUUGAGAGAGAGAAAAAAAAACGCCACGAGAUAUUUCGACAAGCUGACACUAGAGCGAUCGACCUUUUCCGAUCCGUUUAUUAGAUUUAUAAGCCGCCCCGCAGAACGCAAAGCUGAUUAAUUAUGGUUUUGUUUUGUUUUUGGAAUAGAAGCUUCUUAUAUAGAAACAUUGACUGUGUUCCUAGUACGGUUUGAUUCUAAUGUCUUUCACAAGGUAGAGAGCUACAGCCACUAAAUGCCCGAACUACGACGAUUGAAUAGCCGAUAAGCCUUUCUACAAACGAAAUUGACGCGAAAGGAAUUCGACUGGUCAUAUAAUUAUUAUUUCGCUUUCGCACAGUCUCAAUUGUUUUUUUUUCAUUUUUUGCACUAACGAGUUACUAACAAAGCUCAGUAAUCGAUUAUGGAAACAUUCAUUGAAAAAAGCGUUUAUUGUAGGAUUGUAAACGUGUGUCUUUAUUUGUCACAACAGGGAAAUAUUGCACAGAUAUUUGAGUUUAUUUUUCUUUUCAUGAACAAUUUCACAACUUACAAUGUUUUACAAUGCGCCCGCGAACGAUAUUUAUACAAUAUUUAGAAACAAUAAAAAAACAUAAUUUACAAAA
Malaya genurostris is the source of this 6854-nucleotide RNA transcript. It is a transcript of the gene named serine-rich adhesin for platelets, with no coding region annotated. The transcript has 14 exons. The record is from RefSeq and is a predicted model, not a curated record. Lineage: Eukaryota; Metazoa; Arthropoda; Insecta; Diptera; Culicidae.